This 253-nucleotide ribosomal RNA is filed under the name uncultured bacterium. Its description in RNAcentral is "partial 16S ribosomal RNA". It matches the Rfam family "Bacterial small subunit ribosomal RNA", at positions 524 to 776 of the family's 1533-position model. The record is from RNAcentral.
UACGGAGGGUGCAAGCGUUAUCCGGAUUCACUGGGUUUAAAGGGAGCGUAGGUGGGCUGGUAAGUCAGUGGUGAAAUCUCCGGGCUUAACUCGGAAACUGCCGUUGAUACUAUCAGUCUUGAAUAUUGUGGAGGUAAGCGGAAUAUGUCAUGUAGCGGUGAAAUGCUUAGAUAUGACAUAGGACACCGAUAGCGAAGGCAGCUUGCUACACAAUUAUUGACACUGAGGCUCGAAAGCGUGGGGAUCAAACAGG